RNAcentral lists this ribosomal RNA (493 nucleotides) under uncultured bacterium. RNAcentral's name for it is "partial 16S ribosomal RNA". It matches the Rfam family "Bacterial small subunit ribosomal RNA", at positions 29 to 508 of the family's 1533-position model. The record is from RNAcentral.
AGUGAACGCUGGCGGUAGGCCUAACACAUGCAAGUCGAACGGCAGCACAGUAAGAGCUUGCUCUUACGGGUGGCGAGUGGCGGACGGGUGAGGAAUACAUCGGAAUCUACUUUUUCGUGGGGGAUAACGUAGGGAAACUUACGCUAAUACCGCAUACGACCUACGGGUGAAAGCAGGGGAUCUUCGGACCUUGCGCGAUUGAAUGAGCCGAUGUCGGAUUAGCUAGUUGGCGGGGUAAAGGCCCACCAAGGCGACGAUCCGUAGCUGGCCUGAGAGGAUGAUCAGCCACACUGGAACUGAGACACGGUCCAGACUCCUACGGGAGGCAGCAGUGGGGAAUAUUGGACAAUGGGCGCAAGCCUGAUCCAGCCAUACCGCGUGGGUGAAGAAGGCCUUCGGGUUGUAAAGCCCUUUUGUUGGGAAAGAAAAGCAGCAGGUUAAUACCCCGCUGUUCUGACGGUACCCAAAGAAUAAGCACCGGCUAACUUCGUGC